AGAAAGUGGUUUUUUUUGCAAGGACCAAAUCCUGUAAUUACAGCAGGUUUGUUACUAACUCAUUUGCUGUCAUGCAAGCUCUUCCCUGCUCUUCCCUUUCCUGAAUUUCUGCUUUCCUUUUCCAUGACCAUGGAAAUACUGUCCAGGAAAGAAUUCCACCAAAAAUUAGUUUUUAUAUCUGAAAAUAAGAUCAGUUAAGGUACUAAAAGAAAACUUCUUUGGGCAUUGUCCAGCUUAUAAUACUGCCCUUUUAUAAUCAACCCACAAAGAUAAAUCAAGGAAUAAACUUAUCAAUAACCAAAAAGGUCCACAUCCAUGCCAAUAAAUUUAUAAAAAUUAAAAAAUACACUACAAAUCAGAUAUUGAAAGUGCA
This 373-nucleotide long non-coding RNA is filed under the name Homo sapiens (human). RNAcentral describes it as "HSALNT0059592". Lineage: Eukaryota; Metazoa; Chordata; Mammalia; Primates; Hominidae. The record is from RNAcentral.